AGCGCAUGCAUGUAGUGCAAUAGUGUAGUACGGUACGGUACAUGUAUUGAAGAUUAAUUAACGGCUCAUUCGUCAUGUUUUCAAGAUGCCUGCGCAAAAAGAUGAACAUAAGCAAUUGACAAAGCCAGACCGUAGUAUGUCUACACUUGGGACGAGCCAGCUUCGGAUUGCGUGCGUUUUCAGCGCUACGACCCACGCAACCAAAGCUGCCGAAGACGCUCUGAACAACGCCUGCCGACUGGUCAACAAUGUCACCCUCAUUAAGGUCAACUUUGAGAGGCUGGACUUUGGCGAGACCAAGGUUCUUGACCGGUUCUAUGCUGCUGACAUGGUGGUCGUGGAUGUCUCUGUCAUCAUGCAGCAACGGACGCUGUUCUACCACAUGGGUGUCCGCGAGAGCUUUGGGAAAGAAAAGAAUGUGGUACUCUACAAUGAUUCGGUAGAUCCUGAAGGAACAUCUUCUCUCAUGCAAUCCUGCCAUGGGUCAGGGUACAUGUUUAUCCCAUACAAACUGGACUCCAAGAAUGAAUGUUACGUGUGUGACAUGGCGUGUGUCUUCAAGGUGGGACAAAAUCCUGAUGAGGAUCCGACUCUCUGCCCCCUCCUCACCGAUCGUCUUCGGGAAGCCAUCGAGGAGGUCCACAUUAGCAAUAGGAGUAAUGCAAGGGAAGUCUUGUUGAAUGACAUUCGUAAAGCAAGGAUGAAACUCAAAGGAGACAUGCUAGCUAAGGAACUUGGUAAUCUGAAAGCUAGGAUGGAUGAGCAGCUGUUAUUGAGUGGAGAUAUCGUUCAUCAAUUUCUACUCUCCUACAGAGAAAUUCAGGAUUAUAAUUCCAUGGUGUCUCUAGUUGAAGCGAUUAAGCAGCUGAAGAAUGAUCAUGUGACUGAUAAGCCUGCCAUUGUACAUCUCUAUGCAUUUGCUCUUAACAGACGGAAAAAGUCAGGUGACAGAGAAAAGGCAGUUGCUGUCAUAGAAAAGGCCUUAAAGAGUGAAGAGAAUCAGGUGCCUGAUAUGUUCUGCCUCUGUGGUCGGAUCUACAAAGACAUCUAUACAGAAUCUAAUUACAUUGAUACAGAGAGCAGAGAUCAUGCUAUACACUGGUACAGAAAGGGUUUUGAGGUGCAGCCUAAUGAGUAUGCAGGCAUCAAUCUUGCAACGCUUCUUGUGCUAUCUGGAAAAGAGUUCACGAAAUGCCCAGAGCUUCAGAAAAUAGGUAUGACCCUGAACAACCUACUGGGUAAGAAGGGCAGUCUGGUAUCACUUGAAGACUAUUGGGAUGUAGCAACCUUCUUUGAGAUCAGCGUUCUGGCUGGUGACUUCUCCAAGGCUUCCCAAGCAGCAGAAUGCAUGUUCAAACUCAAACCUCCCAUCUGGUAUCUGAAGUCUACACUUGGUAAUAUCCAGAUGAUAUGUCGGGUAAGACCAACGUCUGAUGAAGAACCUACCAUUGAUCAACAACUCUUCAACUUCUGGCUAGAUUUCUUUGUUGAAGCUACCAAAGAGUCGACAACAGAACUCCGCUUUCCUGUCUUGGUCUUAGAACCCAGCAAGAUCUACAAGCCUAGUUACAUCACUAUCAGUGAAGGGGAUGAGACGCAGGAGAAUUCCAUUCGACUCUGGCAUGUCGGCAUGGAGAAAAAUUGCAGGGAGAUCAGUGAGUGGCUGUUUAAUUUAUCUUCUAUAAAAGGUGUCAGUACUUACAAGAGAGAUGAUCGCUGUCUGUUCCUGUACGUCCAGCAAAACGCAGAUGAUUUUCAACUCUUCUAUCCAUCCUCCAGUCAAAGACAAAGGUUUCACAAUCUGAUCAUGGAUAUGCUAGGCAGCAGUGCAGUCAUUGGAGGUGAGGUGGAUUCUGACCUGAAUGAUGAACCUAUACAGGUCGAGUAUGAAUUGACCGACUCUAAGGAAAGGGUGAUCUUGGGCCGAGGGACGUUUGGUGUGGUGUAUGCGGCCAGAGAUUGCAGGACGCAGGUGACCAUAGCGGUCAAGGAGAUUCCCAUUACUGAUGUUAGAGAAGUGCAGCCCUUACAUGAGGAGAUCUUACUACACUCGAGGCUUAGUCAUAAAAACAUUGUCAAAUAUCUUGGCUCAGAUACAAGUUCAGAAGGGAACACAUUUAAGAUAUACAUGGAACAAGUUCCCGGCGGAAGUCUGUCUGCAUUGCUGAGAUCUAAGUGGGGUCCUCUGAAAGAUCAUGAAGACACUAUAGUUUACUACACAAGGCAAAUUCUGGAGGGCCUUAGAUACUUGCAUGAUCAAAAGAUUGUCCACAGGGACAUCAAAGGUGACAAUGUAUUGGUCAAUACCUACAGCGGAGUGGUCAAGAUCUCAGACUUUGGAACGUCCAAGAGAUUGGCUGGGUUGAAUCCAGCCGCAAGUUCAUUCAAAGGAACCCUACAGUAUAUGGCCCCGGAAGUGAUUGACAAAGGUCUUAGAGGCCAUGGCGCUCCAGCGGACAUCUGGUCAUUGGGUUGUACUAUUGUUGAGAUGGCAACUGGAAAACCCCCUUUCAUUGAGCUGGGUUCACCUCAAGCAGCCAUGUUCAAAGUUGGUUUCUACAAGGAUCAUCCCGAAAUUCCAGCGAGCCUCUCAAACGCAGCCAAGGCAUUUAUCCUCAGGUGUUUUGAGCCUGACCCAGAGAAGAGAGCUACAGCCCAUGAUCUCCUCCAGGAUCCGUUCCUUAUCAAGGGGAGAAAAAUGAGUAAAAAGGGAGCUUCAGGAGCCGAUCACAGGACAGACAGAAGCAUAUCAAUGCCACUGGUCAGUCCGAGUAGCCGUCCAGAGUCUCCCUUGACCAUAGCGUCAACCCUCUCCAAUUUCAGUGAAGCUGAUGCAGUCUCAAGUCUCCGGCUUGACAAGCGAAGAUCACUUGAGCUAUUAUCACCUGGCAGCAGUGAGGAUGGUCUUGAGACUCCUGUAACUCCUGACAAUCGGGAGCAAGGUGGGUUCUACAUGUUGAGGAAGGACAGUGAAAGACGUCAGACGUUACUCACCAUCAUUGAAGGCGAUGGCGAUAAGAUCGUCAAUGAAUGGAUGAAGAAAUUGCAGCUGACUUCUGAGAGACCACCAACCAAAAUUACUACUGCUCACUUGAUGACGUUGAAUCAUGGGAUAGCGGUGUUUAUCAAGCAGAGAGAACGUAGGAAGCUGGUCGAUGCUCUAGAGAAACUCCGGAAUGAUUUAGACUAUGACCCUACAGCUCUUGGUGAAAUUCAUACUGCACUGUAUGUAUUUCAGGACUCGGUAAAUCAAGUGUUACGUCAGCACAUGCACAAUAUAAAACCCCACUGGAUGUUUGCAUUGGAUAACCUAAUAAGAGAUGCUGUACAGGUUACUAUUACCAUCCUCAGCCCAGAUCUUGGAGAGAACAUAGCCCCCAGCAAGGAGGACGAUAUGCCCCCUGCCCACUCUCACGGCAUGGACACCCGCCCCCCUGGCACAUCCAACGGGGACAGCAGGGGCAUCUACGGCACCGCCCACCACUUUCUCCCCCUCCCCAAGGGGGCGGAGGAAGAGGCGGGGAACACUUCGGGGGUGUCGACCUUUGACAGCUCCACCAGGUCCAAUGAGUGCUUCAUACCCAAUCGGAACCUGAUGGCUAGUUUACAGAUGGACCAUCAAAGGCUUGUCCAGGAGCAGGGCAGGUUACUUCAAGAGUUGGUAGACGUCCAGAAAUCUUUAAAUGAUGUCCUUCAAACUCAGCUAUGUGUUAGCAGAUCAGUCAUGGAAAGAAUAGGGUUUCAGCCUCUUGGUGCCAGUGACUCUGUCAACUCAAAUACACAAGAAAGUAGAGGAGGAGUUGGCAGUGAGCAGGAGGAGUUAGUAUCAUGGUUGCAGUCAAUAGCACUUGAUGAAGAUAGUAUUAGAAGGUUUAUUGAAGAGGACUUUACCUUGCCACUGGUUCUCAAUUCAAUGACGAGAGAUGACCUGAGAUCUCUGAAAAUUAGGGUCGGAGCUCAGGUGCGUAUAUGGGAUGCCGUCCAACAACACAGAAUGAACGAGCAGAAGAGAUGAAAUCGACUCUCUUAGACAACACCUUUCUUUUUCUCUCUUUCUUCCUAAAAUUGUCUUUUCUGCUUUUGAGAAGAUCAUCUUGUAUGUAAACAAAACAAAAAUAUAUUUGGUGCAAUUUAGUCUUUCUGACAAGUAUAAAGUUUGCUUGGAUGCUAUUUCAGUGCAUAGAGUUGUGGAUGUAGCAUGUAGAUUUUCACAUAUUUUGAAAUGUUUGGAAAAGAAGAACUAAUCUUUACUCAAACUUUUGUUAGGACAGCCUGUAGCCAUUGUUUUCAAUUAGGGGCUUCGAUUCCUUCUCUUCAUUUGCUGAAUAUUUUUACAAUCAAGAAAAAAAUAGGUUAAAAAAUGGUAAUCAUUCAAAAUUGAUGAGAAUUUCAUCCCAGAAGAACUAUUUUCCUUCCAUAUUUUGUCUUGCUUUUGAAAUACUGGGGGUUCAAUUGACCCCACCCCCCCCCCCCCCCCCCCGCUCCUGGCUACGGGAUUGUAAGGUACCUGUGCAGGUAACACAAAACUAAGUGAUUGAUCCUAUACAUGAUUUGUAUGACAGAUUGCACACAAUGAUCAAUGCAAUCCAUCAUAAACAAUCAGCUAUAGAUCAAACCCUGUGCUUUGUGAUACACGAUCCUGAUGUAGUUGAAAACCCCUCGAAAAGUUUGUGAUCUGAAGAUGAGUUCUAUGUUCUACUUUAGGUGACAAAAACAGGCAAAGAUAAGGGGGAGGGGGACACUUAAUCAAAAUGUCUGAUGAGAAAAAUACCUGGAUACAUUCUCAUACACUCUGAUGAAUAUUUUCAAGGUGACACAUAUUCAUCAGGAUGGGGCCUGGGGAAAAAACUAUAACCCUAGUACAAUUCAAGUUUUUUUUUUUUUUGCUGUUUUCUUCCUAAAUAUGCAGAAUGUUCAAUGUAAAUAUUUAGUUCAUGAAAUUUUAAGAGGGAGUCUAGAAACUAAAAUAAAAUUUGUUUCAUGCAGAAGGUCAGUAAAUGGUCAGCCCUUUUAUUUGACAUUUCAUUCAUUAUACAAAUGGACUGUUUCAGUGUCUCUUUCCUCCCUUUAUUCUUCAAUAUUGUCUUUAUCUGCUGUGUGCUACAUAUAUAGAGUAAUUUGUAUAUUUGACAUUAUGGCAUUAGUUUAUUUAGAUACGUGUAUAUUGAGGUUUAUAGAAAAUGUGUACUUAGACAAAAUAAUAUUGGCAAUAGAUGAAAUCAAAUCAUAGAUAUUAAUUAUAUUCAUGUACCAAUUUUAUUCUAUAUGUGGAGUGCUCCAGGUAUCAAUUGUUAUUUUCAUAAAUGUGUGUACUUUUCGCCAGCCGCAAAACUUGCUGCCUGUUUACCUACGAGAGAUGUUAGAAACUCCAAAGUAUGUAUGGCGCUGUUUAUUUUGUACCAGAAACAUAUACACCAACUGUAAUGCCAUAGCAAUUACAUAUCAAAUCAUUGUGUGUGUUUAUGAAACAGUAGAUGAAAAAUGAUAUAAAACAGUGCCUGUUUCUCUCGGAUUUUUAAAAAAUUCUUGAAGAUCUGGAAAGAAAUCAAGAUAUCUGUGAAAUAAGAAUUGACCUUGCACUUGCUCCGUUCUGGUAUCAUUUCCAAAUUUUGAAUUUGGUAUAGUCUUCUUAUUUUUUUAUUGCAGGUAGCAAUGUAGCUAUUUGAUCUAGUACCAUUCAUUCUCCAGCUAACUUUAGUCACUGCACUACCGCACUGUACAUAUAACUUAUCAACAGUAUCAUUGCCUAUCGCUGAAUGUAGAAUGACUUUAUGUAGAACUACCGUAGACAGUAUUCAGUUUAGAAUGCUUUAUAAUGUACUUAUCCAAACUCCUGAUUGUUUGUUGUGUGUGAUUUUAAUGAUGGAGUGUGUUAUUCAUAUACACAUAGGUGGGAGAGCAUUUCAUGAAAGGACUUGUCAGAUGUUUUAUCAUACAAGUCCUGUUUUAUGCGACAGUUACCGUAGUAACAGUGGUUCUCAGCCAAUCAAAAUGAGGGAAAGUUGUCAGAUGAUAACGUUGAUGAAACCCUCCCCUGAACUCUGGUUUCAUAUCAUUACGCUAAAAUAUCGACAAUUUGGCUUGAAAAUCAAUACCUUGUGUAAGUUAUGUCAAUGUUAUUACUGUUAAAACAAACUAAUCAAAAUACAAUUUUUUUUUUCACUGCAAAUCAAGAGUGAAAAUUUUGUAUGUGAUAAACUUUGUUUCAUAGAAAGCUCUUGUGUAACUUCUUCAGCAUGGAUAAAAAAAAAAUUCUGAAAGUGUUCAUGUGCGCCCCUUUGUAUGACACAAAAUCCUCAGAGUACAUGAAGAUGUGAAAUGACAAAAAAAAAACAUUGUUCCCUUUAUUUUCACUUCAAGUUUUGGCGAUUGACACAUUAUCUAUGCUGUUCAUGAGUCAUGUAGUAUAGAAAGUUUCCUUUGUAUGGUGGUCCAAAAAAUGCAAACUUGUGCCACAUUUUUCAUAGCCUUUACUCUGUUCUCAGUGGAAUUCGGCCUAAUAUUUUGGUUACCUCUUUUUACUUCCCGGUUGAACUCAGUACUUAGACAUGCCAUGUUUCAUUGAAAAGGUGACUUAACAAAAUCAAGAACUACAUGGAUGAAUUCUUUCUUCAUUAUCUGUUCAUUAUGAUGUUUUGUAUGACAUUCUGUUGAAUUUGUAUAUUCAAUCAUUUCUUUCAUAUUGUUAUAACAGUACUUAGUUAAUAAAUAUAUGUCUAUCAUUUUACAUUAACUGCACAAAUAACACUUCGACUAUUAACGACACUUAAUAUAAUUAUAUUCACACAUAUUAUGAUGAAUUUGAGAUAUUAUGCAUGUAUUACAGAUGAUAUAGUAAUGUGUGUGUGUGUGUUCCAUUAAACAUUGCAUGUUUAAGCCUGACAUGUAAUGUGUAAAAUUAGGAUAAAUUCGCAUUUUGAAUCUUGCAGAUACAUUUGUACAUAUUUAUCUGUACCAAUAAUACUACUAUCUCCCACGUUGAUGAAGAUAUUUAUGAUAUUCCAAUAGCAGACUUAGGGAUCCUUCCUCUCUACACUGUUUGGACAAUUAAUAUCAGUAAUUCUCACAACUCAAAAUUAGGAGUUAAAUCUUACUCAACAGCAGGUAUAAAUCUUUGGUUAGUAUGCUCAACAACAUCCAAGUAGUGUUUCAUGAAGGACUUGUUGGAUGUUUUAUCUGUCGUGUCCUGUGUUAUUCGACAGUUACCAUAGAAACAGUGCUCCUUAUCCAAUCAGAGUAAAGGAAAGUUGUCAGAUCUGACAACUUAUUUCCCCAGAAGUCUCAGGUUGUGACUAAAUUGGAAGUACUGACAUGUCUGUUAACUGUUUCAUUAAGCUUUCUCCACCCAUAUCAAGGAAAACAAACCUGGUACUAUUUAAUUGAAAAAACAUACAAUAGGGUCACUCUGACAUUGUGUUAAUUGCUACAUGUACCUUGGUAGUUGGGCUUUAGCACCCAAUCAAAAAUAAAGAUUUCCAUGGAAGUUAUCAUAAUUGCAAAGCUACCUCUGGUCAUAUAGUUGGAAUACCUGUAGAGAAACUGUCCCACACAUGGGGUCUUUUUCAUGAAACUUGUUAUAAUUAAUUUCCAAUAACUAUUUUGAGCUACUGAAAUCAUUCAAUUUGAUUGGUUGAUGGUGCACUUCAAAUGGAAAUUGUGUAUAUGUUGUAACAAGUCUUUAUGAAAUGGGACUGUGAUUAAUAAACAUCUGUAAAACACAAUCACACACACAGUUCAACAAAAUCAUACACUGCAAGUGAUGGGUUCAGUCUGGCUUUAACACAGGGAUGGCACCAUGCUCCCCCUUACAAUAUAAAAAAUUGAGAAUUAUGAAGGGAAAAUUAAGGAAAGACUAAAGUAUAUUUAAAAGUGUGUGCUGAGUAGUGUAACUAUAUACUUCCCCUAUUUUGUACUUAAAAAAAAAAAAAAAUCUAAAAAAUUUAAGUCACUGUUAGGUCCCCCCAGAAUAGCCCGGGGCACCCUGCUUUUGUUAGUAUUGACUACCGUGAUUUAUCUUCUGUGGAAUGAAAUAAGAGAAAAGGAUAUUGUGGCAUCACAAAUUCUUAAUAAAUUAUAUGAUUAUAGCCGACUUAACAAUAUUAUAUAGAAUUUAUAGGUGUUUUUUGUGUAGAUAUUCUUGUAAAUAUAGUUCAAAUGCUUGCCAAAUAUUUGUUUUGUAACAUAUGAUAAAAAGAAAACAGGACAGUCUUGUAAAUAAGUUCCAUGGAUUUUUCCUUGCAGGUGCGUUAAUAUGAAAACAAGAGUUAACAUUUAUUAUUUUAUCAUUGGGUGAUUGCAUGAAUACCUUAAUCCCAAGUGUUGUAAGAUAUGUUUUAUUUUAUCCAUUUUGUGUACUUUCAAAAGU
Molecule: RNA transcript, 8365 nt
Organism: Lytechinus pictus (painted urchin)
Lineage: Eukaryota; Metazoa; Echinodermata; Echinoidea; Temnopleuroida; Toxopneustidae
Gene name: mitogen-activated protein kinase kinase kinase 15-like
Exons: 38
Source: RefSeq, a predicted model, not a curated record